This 447-nucleotide ribosomal RNA is filed under the name uncultured bacterium. RNAcentral's name for it is "partial 16S ribosomal RNA". It matches the Rfam family "Bacterial small subunit ribosomal RNA", at positions 29 to 523 of the family's 1533-position model. The record is from RNAcentral.
AACGAACGCUGGCGGCAGGCUUAACACAUGCAAGUCGAACGCCCCGCAAGGGGAGUGGCAGACGGGUGAGUAACGCGUGGGAAUCUACCCAACCCUACGGAACAACUCCGGGAAACUGGAGCUAAUACCGUAUACGCCCUACGGGGGAAAGAUUUAUCGGGGAUGGAUGAGCCCGCGUUGGAUUAGCUAGUUGGUGGGAUAAAGGCCUACCAAGGCGACGAUCCAUAGCUGGUCUGAGAGGAUGAUCAGCCACAUUGGGACUGAGACACGGCCCAAACUCCUACGGGAGGCAGCAGUGGGGAAUAUUGGACAAUGGGCGCAAGCCUGAUCCAGCCAUGCCGCGUGAGUGAUGAAGGUCUUAGGAUUGUAAAGCUCUUUCACCGGAGAAGAUAAUGACGGUAUCCGGAGAAGAAGCCCCGGCUAACUUCGUGCCAGCCGCCGCCGUAA